CAGUGCUGUGAUAAAGUGCUGGAGUAGUAUCUUGGCCUGUGCGUGUCAGAAGCUUGAGCUGCUGCCUGUUUUUUCUUUUAGCAGCUGAAAUUCCUUCAGAGUUUUUGUGGAUUAAUUUCCAAGAUACAGUGUGUUGCAAUUAAGUCGACGUUGGAAGCUGUAAGAUGAAAGAUAAGCGAGUGGGAGGGGAAAGAAAAAUAGAGCAAUAACCAAGACCGCUGCCAAUAAGACCUAAAGAAACAACACCAAACGGCUGGCAAAGUACCCUGUGGCUUCUUUGAUAGUCCCUCAUCACAAGUAAUAAAACACCUCUUGAGUUGUUCUUCACCUACUGGUUGUAAAUCCUAAUGUAAAGCUGCCUGUGUUUCCCAGAGUCCUGGGGACCUCACAAAAGCCUCUGGUCUCCUAGAGUCCAGCCUGCCCAGCACGUGGAGGAGAUGGAGGAGCAGAAAGGAAGGUGACCUAUGUGUUGUUACCUCAACUUUUUGGAACAGCAAACAAAGCCAAGUGUACUCCUUAAAAGAAUUAUGUGAUCCCAGGGCAGGUAAGAGGACAGGAGGCAGUGACACAGGGCAGCCCUUCCUUGUUCUAUGUUGUAUUGAAGUAAAGGGUAAUCAUUAUCCAGAUUUCCUGGAUUAUUUUAUUUUUCCUGAACUGGUUUCAUUGGUACACCAAAGACCACGAUUGAAUGCAUUUCUGGGCAAAAUAUUCUGUCAUCUUUGAUACUGUGUUCUGUUUUCCCUUUCUAGAGAAUUAUAAAACUCUUCUGGUCCUCCCAAUUAGGAGAAAUGUGCAAGUGAUGAACUAUUUUGCCUCAUGUCAGAAUGCCUUUUCCCUAAGUGCUGUUUACUCUCAUGGUUUCUAGCCAUUAGAUUAAAUAAGUUGUGUCUGUU
RNAcentral lists this long non-coding RNA (893 nucleotides) under Calidris pugnax (ruff). Its description in RNAcentral is "lncRNA (ENSCPUG00000017287.1)". The record is from RNAcentral. Lineage: Eukaryota; Metazoa; Chordata; Aves; Charadriiformes; Scolopacidae.